UAAUACGGAAGGUCCAGGCGUUAUCCGGAUUUAUUGGGUUUAAAGGGAGUGUAGGCGGUCUGUUAAGCGUGUUGUGAAAUUUAGGUGCUCAACAUCUACCUUGCAGCGCGAACUGGCGGACUUGAGUGCACGCAACGUAUGCGGAAUUCAUGGUGUAGCGGUGAAAUGCUUAGAUAUCAUGACGAACUCCGAUUGCGAAGGCAGCGUACGGGAGUGUUACUGACGCUUAAGCUCGAAGGUGCGGGUAUCGAACAGGAUUAGAUACCCUGGUAGUCCGCACGGUAAACGAUGGAUGCCCGCUGUUAGCGCCUGGCGUUAGCGGCUAAGCGAAAGCAUUAAGCAUCCCACCUGGGGAGUACGCCGGCAACGGUG
RNAcentral lists this ribosomal RNA (372 nucleotides) under uncultured bacterium. Its description in RNAcentral is "bacterial SSU rRNA". It matches the Rfam family "Bacterial small subunit ribosomal RNA", at positions 521 to 896 of the family's 1533-position model. The record is from RNAcentral.